Molecule: long non-coding RNA, 1873 nt
Filed under: Heterocephalus glaber (naked mole-rat)
Lineage: Eukaryota; Metazoa; Chordata; Mammalia; Rodentia; Bathyergidae
Description: lncRNA (ENSHGLG00000032161.1)
Source: RNAcentral
GUCACCAUCACUCUAGCAACGCUUCUCUUUGGUAGGAGCCAUUUGUGCAAUGGCAGCAGUUGAUUGCAACUCAGUUUUUUCACCUGCUCGUGCUCCAGCCCGCAGGGAUGUUACUGUUUCCUGUAGUUGCUAACUCCAUGAGACCUUAUGUUCUGUUUGGCCUCUUCAGUUCCUCAGUGUCUAGCUAGUGACUAAGUGAAAGUCUCAGCAUAACCCAUGCGGUUUCUUCUCCUGGAGGCCCUCAGCUGACAAGGUGAGUUGACGGCCACCUUCAUCCAGGCUGAGUGAGAGGGUUGUUAAGAUUUUGCAGAUGUAUUUGACCAGACACUGCACUGGGCCAACAGACCAAACCAAAGUAGAGUUUAAUCAUCGUGACUAAGCUUUGGCUGGUUGCAGUAGCCAGUUAACAGACUGGACUGCAAACAACUAGUUAAGCCAUAAUGGAUGGAAUGGUUCAGCUCACGAGGCUAUAGCCAAGAGUACAUCAACUAGAGAGCCCUUGGAGAGCUUGACAUGUAUCCCCUACAGUUCUGGGAGCAGAGCAGAAGAAUGUCAUCCCACUCAGGAAACUCAGGGGCAAGAGGUGGGCUGCUGAGCUGCACUGAGAGGGGAGGAAGAGUUGCUGCCACACUGGGAUGGACCUACACUCCUGGUUUCUCAGGAUAUGGAGUCUCAUGGACCCAAUUCAAGCCAUACUUGGAAAGUGAAGGGUCAGAGACUGAACCAGUGGGGUUCUUUUAGCCAACCCCCAAUAGGGCCAUCUAUAGAAGCAAUGAAAUCUCAGGUGAAGGAGGGGGAACGGUUUUCUUAGAUGCUGUGGAAUGGCAGAGAAUCACUUGCGGUGCAGGUUAAGGCAACUCAAAUGGAUCUAGAAGUGUCAGUGUUACAUGAUGCUGGCAUCAUGUGCCACACUGAUAAAGAAUGAAACCAUGGGUGAAGCAGGUAGGAUGCAAGCAAAUUUAUUUAAAAGAUAUAAAGGCAAGAAAGUAAAGUUCCCACUAGCCAGAAGGGGGUUCUGGAUAUCCACGAAUGCUUUGUCUAGGGGUUUCUUAGGGGCUUAGAAGGGAGCUCGGGCCAUUGUGUAAGCAAUAUAACCUCUACCCUAUAGGCUAUAUACUUUUUAGGGUCAAAUCUAUGUGGUGUUCAUACAGUGUCCAUGCAGGGCCCGUGUGCCCUUAAGCCAACGAACGGCCUGUCUGAUCAUGAUCUAGGGAGGUCCCAAACAGCCCAAGGACACCUACCAGAUGUUUUUGUAGGAUCCCUGGAGGGCUCUGACUCAGCAGAUUCCAUUUUGGGCUUCCCGACUCCAUUUUGGGGCCACUGUCCCUAAUAAAAUCUUAACUAAUCUGCCUAUUAAAAAAAUCUGCCUAAAAUAAAAAUAAAAUCUCCCUAAAUAAAAAUCUGCCUAAUAAAAUCUUAACUCCUGUCUCACUGAUUCCUGUUAUAUUAGGGUUCUCAAAAGAGCACCCCAUGAGACAGUCCAUUGUCAACACCUCCAGACCUGGAGAACAUGAAGUCAUCUUACUAUGGUACCAGUCAGGUGAAGAUGCUCCUGGCUCCCCUCUCCCUCUCCCUCUCCCACCUCCUCAGACUUCAAUCCUGAGGGUCCAAAAACAGUUUAGAAAGUUGAGGACAAGGGAGUAAACCGAAGCCAGAGCAGGAAACAGAUUAUAACUUCUUCCACACACCUGUAUCUCAUAGGAAACCCUUGUAGGGAAAGGAGAAGAGUCUUAAAAUCACUUUUUGACUUCCAAUUACUUAGGACUGACAGGAUAAGGGCCAAAUUGAGACAUUUGGUGAUUUAAAGUGAUGACCUCUUUUUACUUAAAAGUGACAGAGAGAGAGGGAGAGGGGGAGAGAGAGGGAGGGAGGG